Molecule: ribosomal RNA, 1672 nt
Filed under: Pristipomoides zonatus (oblique-banded snapper)
Lineage: Eukaryota; Metazoa; Chordata; Actinopteri; Lutjaniformes; Lutjanidae
Description: 16S ribosomal RNA
Rfam family: Bacterial large subunit ribosomal RNA
Source: RNAcentral
AAAAUAACAAAUCCUCCUUAAUAACCCUUAAUUACACUAACACCAUUAAACAAAACAUUUUUCCCCCUUAGUACGGGCGACGGAAAAGGAACUGUAGAGCAACAGAGAAAGUACCGCAAGGGAACGCUGAAAAAGAAAUGAAACAACUCAGUAAAGCACAAAAAAGCAGAGAUUUAAGCUCGUACCUUUUGCAUCAUGAUUUAGCUAGUAAACGUCAAGCAAAGAGGACUUUAGUUUGACUCCCCGAAACUAGUGUGAGCUACUCCAGGACAGCCUAUUAUAGGGCACACCCGUCUCUGUGGCAAAAGAGUGGGAAGAUCUUUGAGUAGAGGUGACAGACCUACCGAACCUAGUUAUAGCUGGUUGCCUGAGAAUUGGAUAGGAGUUCAGCCUCCCGGCUUCUCUCUUCACCCCUCGUCUAGACCCCCUUCUGACACCAAGAGAAACCGAGAGAGUUAGUCAAAGGGGGUACAGCCCCUUUGACACAAGACACAACUUUUUCAGGAGGAUAAAGAUCACAACUAUAUUAAAGGUUACAUGUUCCGGUGGGCCUAAAAGCAGCCAUCCCAAUAGAAAGCGUCUAAGCUCAGACAUAUAUUAAACCCUUCAGAUCCCGACAACCAAAUCUUAAUCCCCUAAACCUACCAGGCCAUUCCAUGCAAACAUGGAAGUGACUAUGCUAAUAUGAGUAAUAAGAGGGCAUGGCCUCUCUCCCCGCACACUUGUAAAUCGGAACGGACACCCCACCGAACCUUAACGGCCCCAAACAAAGAGGGAAGUGGAUAAUAAAUCAAGCAACAAGAAGAACCUCCAACAACGAUACCGUUAACCCUACACUGGCGUGCACCCAAGGAAAGACUAAAAGAAAGAGAAGGAACUCGGCAAACACAUGAAGUCUCGCCUGUUUACCAAAAACAUCGCCUCUUGCAAAAAUAAUGAAUAAGAGGUCCCGCCUGCCCUGUGACUAUAUGUUUAACGGCCGCGGUAUUUUGACCGUGCGAAGGUAGCGCAAUCACUUGUCUUUUAAAUGGAGACCUGUAUGAAUGGUAGAACGAGGGCUUAACUGUCUCCUCUUUCAAGUCAAUGAAAUUGAUCUCCCCGUGCAGAAGCGGGGCUAAACACAUAAGACGAGAAGACCCUAUGGAGCUUUAGACACCAAGGCAGAUUAUGUUGAAGACCCCAAGACAAAGGGCUAAACUGAGUAAGCCCUGCCCUAAUGUCUUUGGUUGGGGCGACCACGGGGAAACACAAAACCCCCGCGUGGAAUGAGAGUACUAUCUCUUACAAGCAAGAGUCCCCACUCUAGCAAACGGAACUUCCGACCAACAAGAUCCGGCUUAACGCCGAUCAACGGACCGAGUUACCCUAGGGAUAACAGCGCAAUCCCCUUUUAGAGCCCAUAUCGACAAGGGGGUUUACGACCUCGAUGUUGGAUCAGGACAUCCUAAUGGUGCAGCCGCUAUUAAGGGUUCGUUUGUUCAACGAUUAAAGUCCUACGUGAUCUGAGUUCAGACCGGAGUAAUCCAGGUCAGUUUCUAUCUAUGAUUUGAUCUUUUCUAGUACGAAAGGACCGAAAGGAAGGGGCCCAUACCCCAAGUAUGCCCCACCCUCACCUAAUGAAGUCAAAUCAAGUAGGCAACGGGGCAUGCUUUUGUGCUCAAGAGAAUAGCAU